Molecule: ribosomal RNA, 2925 nt
Filed under: Escherichia coli
Lineage: Bacteria; Pseudomonadati; Pseudomonadota; Gammaproteobacteria; Enterobacterales; Enterobacteriaceae
Also listed under: 2 other names
Description: bacterial LSU rRNA
Rfam family: Bacterial large subunit ribosomal RNA
Source: RNAcentral
GGGUUGUGAGGUUAAGCGACUAAGCGUACACGGUGGAUGCCCUGGCAGUCAGAGGCGAUGAAGGACGUGCUAAUCUGCGAUAAGCGUCGGUAAGGUGAUAUGAACCGUUAUAACCGGCGAUUUCCGAAUGGGGAAACCCAGUGUGUUUCGACACACUAUCAUUAACUGAAUCCAUAGGUUAAUGAGGCGAACCGGGGGAACUGAAACAUCUAAGUACCCCGAGGAAAAGAAAUCAACCGAGAUUCCCCCAGUAGCGGCGAGCGAACGGGGAGCAGCCCAGAGCCUGAAUCAGUGUGUGUGUUAGUGGAAGCGUCUGGAAAGGCGCGCGAUACAGGGUGACAGCCCCGUACACAAAAAUGCACAUGCUGUGAGCUCGAUGAGUAGGGCGGGACACGUGGUAUCCUGUCUGAAUAUGGGGGGACCAUCCUCCAAGGCUAAAUACUCCUGACUGACCGAUAGUGAACCAGUACCGUGAGGGAAAGGCGAAAAGAACCCCGGCGAGGGGAGUGAAAAAGAACCUGAAACCGUGUACGUACAAGCAGUGGGAGCACGCUUAGGCGUGUGACUGCGUACCUUUUGUAUAAUGGGUCAGCGACUUAUAUUCUGUAGCAAGGUUAACCGAAUAGGGGAGCCGAAGGGAAACCGAGUCUUAACUGGGCGUUAAGUUGCAGGGUAUAGACCCGAAACCCGGUGAUCUAGCCAUGGGCAGGUUGAAGGUUGGGUAACACUAACUGGAGGACCGAACCGACUAAUGUUGAAAAAUUAGCGGAUGACUUGUGGCUGGGGGUGAAAGGCCAAUCAAACCGGGAGAUAGCUGGUUCUCCCCGAAAGCUAUUUAGGUAGCGCCUCGUGAACUCAUCUCCGGGGGUAGAGCACUGUUUCGGCAAGGGGGUCAUCCCGACUUACCAACCCGAUGCAAACUGCGAAUACCGGAGAAUGUUAUCACGGGAGACACACGGCGGGUGCUAACGUCCGUCGUGAAGAGGGAAACAACCCAGACCGCCAGCUAAGGUCCCAAAGUCAUGGUUAAGUGGGAAACGAUGUGGGAAGGCCCAGACAGCCAGGAUGUUGGCUUAGAAGCAGCCAUCAUUUAAAGAAAGCGUAAUAGCUCACUGGUCGAGUCGGCCUGCGCGGAAGAUGUAACGGGGCUAAACCAUGCACCGAAGCUGCGGCAGCGACGCUUAUGCGUUGUUGGGUAGGGGAGCGUUCUGUAAGCCUGUGAAGGUGUGCUGUGAGGCAUGCUGGAGGUAUCAGAAGUGCGAAUGCUGACAUAAGUAACGAUAAAGCGGGUGAAAAGCCCGCUCGCCGGAAGACCAAGGGUUCCUGUCCAACGUUAAUCGGGGCAGGGUGAGUCGACCCCUAAGGCGAGGCCGAAAGGCGUAGUCGAUGGGAAACAGGUUAAUAUUCCUGUACUUGGUGUUACUGCGAAGGGGGGACGGAGAAGGCUAUGUUGGCCGGGCGACGGUUGUCCCGGUUUAAGCGUGUAGGCUGGUUUUCCAGGCAAAUCCGGAAAAUCAAGGCUGAGGCGUGAUGACGAGGCACUACGGUGCUGAAGCAACAAAUGCCCUGCUUCCAGGAAAAGCCUCUAAGCAUCAGGUAACAUCAAAUCGUACCCCAAACCGACACAGGUGGUCAGGUAGAGAAUACCAAGGCGCUUGAGAGAACUCGGGUGAAGGAACUAGGCAAAAUGGUGCCGUAACUUCGGGAGAAGGCACGCUGAUAUGUAGGUGAAGCGACUUGCUCGUGGAGCUGAAAUCAGUCGAAGAUACCAGCUGGCUGCAACUGUUUAUUAAAAACACAGCACUGUGCAAACACGAAAGUGGACGUAUACGGUGUGACGCCUGCCCGGUGCCGGAAGGUUAAUUGAUGGGGUUAGCGCAAGCGAAGCUCUUGAUCGAAGCCCCGGUAAACGGCGGCCGUAACUAUAACGGUCCUAAGGUAGCGAAAUUCCUUGUCGGGUAAGUUCCGACCUGCACGAAUGGCGUAAUGAUGGCCAGGCUGUCUCCACCCGAGACUCAGUGAAAUUGAACUCGCUGUGAAGAUGCAGUGUACCCGCGGCAAGACGGAAAGACCCCGUGAACCUUUACUAUAGCUUGACACUGAACAUUGAGCCUUGAUGUGUAGGAUAGGUGGGAGGCUUUGAAGUGUGGACGCCAGUCUGCAUGGAGCCGACCUUGAAAUACCACCCUUUAAUGUUUGAUGUUCUAACGUUGACCCGUAAUCCGGGUUGCGGACAGUGUCUGGUGGGUAGUUUGACUGGGGCGGUCUCCUCCUAAAGAGUAACGGAGGAGCACGAAGGUUGGCUAAUCCUGGUCGGACAUCAGGAGGUUAGUGCAAUGGCAUAAGCCAGCUUGACUGCGAGCGUGACGGCGCGAGCAGGUGCGAAAGCAGGUCAUAGUGAUCCGGUGGUUCUGAAUGGAAGGGCCAUCGCUCAACGGAUAAAAGGUACUCCGGGGAUAACAGGCUGAUACCGCCCAAGAGUUCAUAUCGACGGCGGUGUUUGGCACCUCGAUGUCGGCUCAUCACAUCCUGGGGCUGAAGUAGGUCCCAAGGGUAUGGCUGUUCGCCAUUUAAAGUGGUACGCGAGCUGGGUUUAGAACGUCGUGAGACAGUUCGGUCCCUAUCUGCCGUGGGCGCUGGAGAACUGAGGGGGGCUGCUCCUAGUACGAGAGGACCGGAGUGGACGCAUCACUGGUGUUCGGGUUGUCAUGCCAAUGGCACUGCCCGGUAGCUAAAUGCGGAAGAGAUAAGUGCUGAAAGCAUCUAAGCACGAAACUUGCCCCGAGAUGAGUUCUCCCUGACUCCUUGAGAGUCCUGAAGGAACGUUGAAGACGACGACGUUGAUAGGCCGGGUGUGUAAGCGCAGCGAUGCGUUGAGCUAACCGGUACUAAUGAACCGUGAGGCUUAACCUUACAACGCCGAAG